Molecule: long non-coding RNA, 563 nt
Filed under: Bos taurus (domestic cattle)
Lineage: Eukaryota; Metazoa; Chordata; Mammalia; Artiodactyla; Bovidae
Description: long non-coding RNA NONBTAT007189
Source: RNAcentral
GAAGAUGAAACUGGAAUGUGAUAGAUACCUUUCUGUUUGAUGUCUCUUUCUGUCCAAGGUGUGUUUUAAAAAUUAGUCCUGAAAUUUGGUAUUAAAUAGAUUUGAUGAGCUUAAGUAGUUAAGGGAACAUUCCUUACUUGAGAACUGAUGAAUGAGACUGAAAAAUAUGAGGCUGAAUUUAUUUCCUAGUCAGGCAACGUGCGUGUAUUCAGAAAGAGCUUACGCCUUUUUUUCCCCCCUCUUAAAAUUGAUUGCUUGAAGACUCCAUUUAUUGGUGUCCUUGUUUGCAAGGCAAUUAGGCCCAUCAUUGUAUUGCAGGCUAAUAAUCCUGAGAUGAAUCUUGGCACUACUGCUUUAUCUAAACAGAAGACAGGAAAUAUGGAAAAGUCAUAAAUAUUCAUUGGUGAGAUGGUUUGCUAUUGAUGGAGUUUUUCAUUUGAUUCUCUUUUGACAUUACUUGAUAAGAUUUAAAAUAAUUGGAUUGUAUUUCUAUAGAUUGAAUUUUCUUCCAAAGGAAUUCAGGUGGUUAGAAUUCUGUCAGAUGUAGAUAAAAACAUAGAAUC